GAUGAAAACGCAGCGAAAUGCGAUAAGUAAUGUGAAUUGCAGAAUUCAGUGAAUCAUCGAAUCUUUGAACGCACCUUGCGCCCUUUGGCUAUUCUGAAGGGCAUGCCUGUUUGAGUAUCAUGAACACCUCAACUCUCAUGGUUCGCCAUGAUGAGCUUGGACUUUGGGGGUCUUGCUGGCCUACGGUCGGCUCCUCUCAAAUGAAUCAGCUUGCCAGUGUUUGGUAGAGUCGCAGGUGUGAUAACUAUCUACGCUUGUGGUUUUCUGCCAGAUAACCUUCAGUGAUGGAGGUUCGCUGGAGCUUAUAAAUGUCUCUCCCCAGUGAGGACAGCUUUUUGAACGUUUGAUCUCAAAUCAGGUAGGACUACCCGCUGAACUUAAGCAUAUCAAUAAGCGGAGGA
This 401-nucleotide unclassified non-coding RNA is filed under the name soil metagenome. RNAcentral describes it as "partial contains 5.8S ribosomal RNA, internal transcribed spacer 2, and large subunit ribosomal RNA". The stretch from base 1 to 120 matches the Rfam family "5.8S ribosomal RNA", at positions 35 to 154 of the family's 154-position model. The record is from RNAcentral.